UACGAAGGGUGCAAGCGUUACUCGGAAUUACUGGGCGUAAAGCGUGCGUAGGUGGUUCGUUAAGUCUGCCGUGAAAGCCCCGGGCUCAACCUGGGAAUGGCGGUGGAUACUGGCGGACUAGAGUGCGGUAGAGGGUGGUGGAAUUCCCGGUGUAGCAGUGAAAUGCGUAGAGAUCGGGAGGAACAUCAGUGGCGAAGGCGGCCCUCUGGACCAGUACUGACGCUGAGGCACGAAAGCGUGGGGAGCAAACAGG
This 253-nucleotide ribosomal RNA is filed under the name uncultured bacterium. RNAcentral's name for it is "partial 16S ribosomal RNA". It matches the Rfam family "Bacterial small subunit ribosomal RNA", at positions 524 to 776 of the family's 1533-position model. The record is from RNAcentral.